This is a long non-coding RNA of Bos taurus (domestic cattle), 745 nucleotides long. The record is from Ensembl. NCBI's taxonomy places the organism in Eukaryota, Metazoa, Chordata, Mammalia, Artiodactyla, Bovidae.
GGAAGUUUCCCAGGGCUCUGUCCUCUUCAGACUAGGAGUUCUCUAACUAAGUGACCUCAAACUAACUGACAGCCUUCGAACUAACACGGAAACAGCCCACCUGGGAACAAAGUCAGCAUGGAGUAAACUGAUCUGGAAGAUACUAAGAGCUGGAGAGGCAGAGAUCUGAUAACAUCAGGCCCUGGAUCCAGCCAUUCCUGAAGCUAACUCUCUGGAUAUUACUGCUAUGUGAGCCCAAGGCUUGAGUUCCUAAGCACAAGACUCGUCUGCCAUUGGACAGAGCCUGCUGCAGGUCUGGACCGCCCUGAGUGCUCCACCCCCCAAGUCGUCCUCAAAGGGGUGGAAGUGGCUUCUUCUGGCAAAGUGCCCUCUCCAGUCCACACGCCAGGGCUCCCAUUUUUUAUUGAGGAAGUAGUGGCCUACUCCACUUUUGAACUUGAGCCUCUAUAUCUUUUGCCAGGUAAUAAACAGAGCAGCUCAGUAAAUGUUGAGAAUCGAAAUAGGGGAGGUAAGGGGAAAUGGAUGUGUGUAAGUGGAGUAAAAGAAAGCUGGCCUAAUUUUGUUCAUUACCAUGCCCCCAGUGUAUACAACAGAGGCUGAGCAGGUGCUCAAUCCAGUUACCCAAGAAAUGAGCCCAGCUUAACCUUCUCUUUGGGUGAAUGGGGAAACUGAAUCUUGGCGCUCCUCAGCUUUUCAGUCCUUUUCCCCAGCAGCUGAAUGCAGAACUUGGCUCAAAGCAGUGGCU